AGUGAACGCUGGCGGUAGGCCUAACACAUGCAAGUCGAACGGCAGCACAGUAAGAGCUUGCUCUUACGGGUGGCGAGUGGCGGACGGGUGAGGAAUACAUCGGAAUCUACUUUUUCGUGGGGGAUAACGUAGGGAAACUUACGCUAAUACCGCAUACGACCUACGGGUGAAAGCAGGGGAUCUUCGGACCUUGCGCGAUUGAAUGAGCCGAUGUCGGAUUAGCUAGUUGGCGGGGUAAAGGCCCACCAAGGCGACGAUCCGUAGCUGGUCUGAGAGGAUGAUCAGCCACACUAGAACUGAGACACGGUCCAGACUCCUACGGGAGGCAGCAGUGGGGAAUAUUGGACAAUGGGCGCAAGCCUGAUCCAGCCAUACCGCGUGUGUGAAGAAGGCCUUCGGGUUGUAAAGCCCUUUUGUUGGGAAAGAAAAGCAGCAGGUUAAUACCCCGCUGUUCUGACGGUACCCAAAGAAUAAGCACCGGCUAACUUCGUG
Molecule: ribosomal RNA, 492 nt
Filed under: uncultured bacterium
Lineage: Bacteria
Description: partial 16S ribosomal RNA
Rfam family: Bacterial small subunit ribosomal RNA
Source: RNAcentral